UGUUAUUGAGGUAGUUUCCCCAGUUCCCAGUGUAGUGGAAGUUGGCCAGUUACCAGAGGAAGAACCUGUGAUAGAAGAGAGCAGGGAGUCUAGGGUUGAGGUGCCGGUGCUGAGUGGGGACCCCCUUGUUCAACCAAGGGAGGAAGGGAGGCGCAAAACCACUCGAGUAACUGCAGGGAGGCAUGCAAACCCUUACCAUUUACCAAGGGCUGUGAUACAGGUUCAGAGUGUACAAGGGAGCCAAGAGUCUGGAAACCUCCCAGAGCCACCCAGUCAGAAUCAAGGGCCCCCUUUUCGACCAUGGCUUUAAGCUGUAUCAUCGGGACGAUGAUAGAAAAGCUGGGGGUAGAAUGUAAUGGGGUGAGCUUAGAGGGGCGUGUCAUUUGACUUUGUGAUGGAGCCGGACGGAAGUUGAGCGCACGGACCCUUUAAAAGUGGGGAACAUUCCUUUCUUCGGGUUCUCUCUCUGUUUUGGGAAACUGGCUGCAGUGGAGGUGUGUAACGACUCCCUUACCUGUGUAAGCACGAGGUUUAUACCUUUUCCGGACCUCUCUUAGUCGCGCUGAACACCAAGGUAGUUCCCGCAUCAAACUUCUAUUUCAUCUGCGUGACAUUGUCCGCUAUUGUGCAUCAGAGGAACGCUGAUUUUCUGCGCUGUGCGUGGGCCUGUGGGUACUUCCAAAUCAUUCACAGUCGUGUGAUCCAGAUUUAUGAAUGGUGCGUUGACAUUGCUGGGGGGCCUGAUCAAGGUGCGCUACAGAGGGCUGCUGUUUCGCUGCUGUGGAAUUUACAGUCGUUGGACAUUCCUGUUGAUGCUCUCAAUCUUCUGACGUUUCAUCCUGUGUGUGUGUGCGUUCGCGCGCGUGUGUGUGUGUGUGUGUGUGUGUGUGUGUUUAGUAAUGAUGUGUGACUGCGUGGAGUAUUAGGUUUAGCUGUUAAAUUGUGUAUUGGUGUUUUGUUUGUUUAACCCCAUGUGUGUAUUUUGAGAGGUCACACGGGUAUUAGACCAUUUAUUAUUCUGUACAUCUGACUCAUAUAAGUGACCUGGGGAAUUUGUAUUGCCUAUUUCAUUUAUAAUCUUUUUUUUUUGUUUCUUUUUUUGUGUGGAGGUUGGUUUGUUUAAUUGAAAUGGUUUGUUUCACUAACUGGAAGUGAUUGGUUUUUUUACUUUGUGUGUGGGAUUUUCUUUCUUUAUAUUGGUACCAAUUAGUAUUAUUAUUGUGUGAUUCAUUACCUCAGGGUAUCUAUGAGACAAAUGGUCUAAGAACUAAGUGUCCCCCCACAUAUGGUAUGGAUGCUGUGUAGUGUGUUUACGCCUUUUAUGUGAAUGUGGAUGUUUGUAUUUUUAUACCACUAAAUUAAAGAUUGAAUAAGCACACCCUUGUUGUCUUCCUCCAUUUGGUUGGGGGGCCUGUUGUAAGGGGAAUUGAAUAUUAAUACCCCUUUGUUACAUAUAACUUGA
Non-coding RNA from Misgurnus anguillicaudatus (oriental weatherfish), 1462 nucleotides. The record is from RefSeq and is a predicted model, not a curated record. NCBI's taxonomy places the organism in Eukaryota, Metazoa, Chordata, Actinopteri, Cypriniformes, Cobitidae.